UACGUAGGGUGCAAGCGUUGUCCGGAAUUAUUGGGCGUAAAGAGCUCGUAGGCGGUUUGUUGCGUCGGCUGUGAAAUCCCGAGGCUCAACCUCGGGUCUGCAGUCGAUACGAGCAAACUAGAGUGUUGCAGGGGAGACUGGAAUUCCUGGUGUAGCGGUGAAAUGACGCAGACGUAUCAGGAGGAACACCGGUGGCGAAGGCGGGUCUCUGGGCAACAACUGACGCUGGAGGAGCGAAAGCGUGGGGAGCGAACAGG
Molecule: ribosomal RNA, 257 nt
Filed under: uncultured bacterium
Lineage: Bacteria
Description: partial 16S ribosomal RNA
Rfam family: Bacterial small subunit ribosomal RNA
Source: RNAcentral